AUUAAUUCGAUGCAACGCGAAAAACCUUACCUACCCUUGACAUGUACGGAAGGCCGGAGAGAUCUGGUUGUGCUCGAAAGAGAACCGUAACACAGGUGCUGCAUGGCUGUCGUCAGCUCGUGUCGUGAGAUGUUGGGUUAAGUCCCGCAACGAGCGCAACCCUUGUCAUUAGUUGCUACGAAAGGGCACUCUAAUGAGACUGCCGGUGACAAACCGGAGGAAGGUGGGGAUGACGUCAAGUCCUCAUGGCCCUUAUGGGUAGGGCUUCACACGUCAUACAAUGGUACAUACAGAGGGCCGCCAACCCGCGAGGGGGAGCUAAUCCCAGAAAGUGUAUCGUAGUCCGGAUCGCAGUCUGCAACUCGACUGCGUGAAGUUGGAAUCGCUAGUAAUCGCGGAUCAGCAUGUCG
This 410-nucleotide ribosomal RNA is filed under the name uncultured bacterium. RNAcentral's name for it is "bacterial SSU rRNA". It matches the Rfam family "Bacterial small subunit ribosomal RNA", at positions 945 to 1359 of the family's 1533-position model. The record is from RNAcentral.